Molecule: ribosomal RNA, 253 nt
Filed under: uncultured bacterium
Lineage: Bacteria
Description: partial 16S ribosomal RNA
Rfam family: Bacterial small subunit ribosomal RNA
Source: RNAcentral
UACGGAGGAUGCAAGCGUUAUCCGGAAUGAUUGGGCGUAAAGCGUCCGCAGGUGGCAAUGUAAGUCUGCUGUUAAAGAGUCUAGCUCAACUAGAUAAGAGCAGUGGAAACUACAUAGCUAGAGUACGUUCGGGGCAGAGGGAAUUCCUGGUGUAGCGGUGGAAUGCGCAGAUAUCAGGAGGAACACCGAUGGCGAGGGCGGCGUUCUGGACUGCAACUGACGCUGAGGCGCGAGAGCCAGGGGAGCAAACGGG